GACGUAGGGUGCAAGCGUUAAUCGGAAUUACUGGGCGUAAAGCGUGCGCAGGCGGUUUUGUAAGCCAGAUGUGAAAGCCCCGGGCUCAACCUGGGAAUGGCAUUUGGGACUGCAAGGCUUGAGUGCGGCAGAGGAGACUGGAAUUCCUGGUGUAGCAGUGAAAUGCGUAGAUAUCAGGAGGAAUACCGAUGGCGAAGGCAGGUCUCUGGGCUGACACUGACGCUCAUGCACGAAAGCGUGGGGAGCAAACAGG
This 253-nucleotide ribosomal RNA is filed under the name uncultured bacterium. RNAcentral describes it as "partial 16S ribosomal RNA". It matches the Rfam family "Bacterial small subunit ribosomal RNA", at positions 524 to 776 of the family's 1533-position model. The record is from RNAcentral.